This is a long non-coding RNA of Pezoporus flaviventris, 693 nucleotides long. RefSeq lists it as uncharacterized. The record is from RefSeq and is a predicted model, not a curated record. The transcript is spliced from 2 exons. NCBI's taxonomy places the organism in Eukaryota, Metazoa, Chordata, Aves, Psittaciformes, Psittacidae.
GGCUGAGUGCUCGAUCCUCCUCCUACGGCGCCAAAUACAAGCGGCACUUCCAUCUUUUACUGUUGUGCGUAUCUGUAACACGGAGCUGCUGCGAGGGCUGGAGCAGCUCUGCUCUGGAGCCAGGCUGAGAGAGCUGGGCUGGGGCAGCCUGGAGAAGAGAAGGCUCCUGAAGGGGAGACCUGAGAGCAGCUCCAGUGCCUGAAGGGGCUGCAGGAAAGCUGGAGAGGGGCUUGGGACAAGGGAUGGAGGGACAGGCCAAGGGGAAUGGCUUUAACCUGCCCGAGGGGAGACUGAGCUGAGCUCUUAGGCAGAAGCUCUUCCCUGGGAGGGUGCUGAGGCGCUGGCACAGGGUGCCCAGAGAAGCUGUGGCUGCCCCAUCCCUGACAGUGUUCAAGGCCACUGCUGGCUGCAGGCCCAGUUCAGCCCCUUGCUGAUGUUCCAGAUGCAGUUCUCAGCCUCACAGGCAUCCUCUGAAAGGGAAGCACAAGAAGCAGGAAAGUAAAUACGCUGUCGAGGAGUUGUUAAUGCUGCUGACAGGUUGCUUAACUCACUAGUUGGGCCAUUUAAAAGCAAGAUGCUUGCAGGUUAAGAGCAAUGCUGCGGGCUUGGGUGGCUUCAGCCCCGCAUCCUUUCCCCCUUCAUCAGGAAGGUUAGAAGACAGUUCUAGUUUAAAACCUACCUAAACAACAACAA